Molecule: ribosomal RNA, 495 nt
Filed under: uncultured bacterium
Lineage: Bacteria
Description: partial 16S ribosomal RNA
Rfam family: Bacterial small subunit ribosomal RNA
Source: RNAcentral
GACGAACGCUGGCGGCGUGCCUAAUACAUGCAAGUAGAACGCUGAAGGAGGAGCUUGCUUCUCUGGAUGAGUUGCGAACGGGUGAGUAACGCGUAGGUAACCUGCCUGGUAGCGGGGGAUAACUAUUGGAAACGAUAGCUAAUACCGCAUAAUAGUAGAUGUUGCAUGACAUUUGCUUAAAAGGUGCAAUUGCAUCACUACCAGAUGGACCUGCGUUGUAUUAGCUAGUUGGUGGGGUAACGGCUCACCAAGGCGACGAUACAUAGCCGACCUGAGAGGGUGAUCGGCCACACUGGGACUGGGACACGGCCCAGACUCCUACGGGAGGCAGCAGGAGGGAAUCUUCGGCAAUGGACGGAAGUCUGACCGAGCAACGCCGCGUGAGGGAAGAAGGGUGUCGGAUCGUAAAGCUCUGUUGUAAGAGAAGAACGAGGGUGAGAGUGGAAAGUUCACACUGUGACGGUAUCUUAACAGAAAGGGACGGCUAACUACGUG